Molecule: ribosomal RNA, 469 nt
Filed under: uncultured beta proteobacterium
Lineage: Bacteria; Pseudomonadati; Pseudomonadota; Betaproteobacteria
Description: bacterial SSU rRNA
Rfam family: Bacterial small subunit ribosomal RNA
Source: RNAcentral
GGAGGAACGCUGGGAUCGCAAGACCUUGCGCUCAUUGAGCGGCCGAUGCCUGAUUAGCUAGUUGGUGAGGUAAAGGCUUACCAAGGCGACGAUCAGUAGCUGGUCUGAGAGGACGACCAGCCACACUGGGACUGAGACACGGCCCAGACUCCUACGGGAGGCAGCAGUGGGGAAUUUUGGACAAUGGGGGAAACCCUGAUCCAGCCAUGCCGCGUGAGUGAAGAAGGCCUUCGGGUUGUAAAGCUCCUUCAGCCGGAACGAAACAGUCACGGAUAAUACCCGUGACUACUGACGGUACCGGAAGAAGAAGCACCGGCUAACUACGUGCCAGCAGCCGCGGUAGUACGUAGGGUGCGAGCGUUAAUCGGAAUUACUGGGCGUAAAGCGUGCGCAGGCGGUUUUGUAUGUCAGAUGUGAAAUCCCCGGGCUUAACCUGGGAACUGCGUUUGAAACUACAAGGCUAGAAGGG